Molecule: ribosomal RNA, 257 nt
Filed under: uncultured bacterium
Lineage: Bacteria
Description: partial 16S ribosomal RNA
Rfam family: Bacterial small subunit ribosomal RNA
Source: RNAcentral
GCCUACGGGGCGCAGCAGUGGGGAAUAUUGCACAAUGGGGGAAACCCUGAUGCAGCGACGCCGCGUGAGUGAAGAAGUAUCUCGGUAUGUAAAGCUCUAUCAGCAGGGAAGAAAAUGACGGUACCUGACUAAGAAGCCCCGGCUAACUACGUGCCAGCAGCCGCGGUAAUACGUAGGGGGCAAGCGUUAUCCGGAUUUACUGGGUGUAAAGGGAGCGUAGACGGCGCUGCAAGUCCGGAGUGAAAGCCCAUGGCUUA